RNAcentral lists this ribosomal RNA (482 nucleotides) under uncultured bacterium. RNAcentral's name for it is "partial 16S ribosomal RNA". It matches the Rfam family "Bacterial small subunit ribosomal RNA", at positions 30 to 507 of the family's 1533-position model. The record is from RNAcentral.
AUUGAACGCUGGCGGCAUGCUUUACACAUGCAAGUCGAACGGUAACAGGCCGCAAGGUGCUGACGGGGGGCGACCGGGGGAGUAAUGCAUCGGAACGUGCCCAGUCGUGGGGGUUAACUACUCGAAAGGGUAGCUAAUACCGCAUACGAUCUAUGGAUGAAAGCGGGGGCCCGUAAGGCCUCGCGCGAUUGGAGCGGCCGAUGUCAGAUUAGGUAGUUGGUGGGGUAAAGGCUCACCAAGCCAACGAUCUGUAGCUGGUCUGAGAGGACGACCAGCCACACUGGGACUGAGACACGGCCCAGACUCCUACGGGAGGCAGCAGUGGGGAAUUUUGGACAAUGGGCGCAAGCCUGAUCCAGCAAUGCCGCGUGCAGGAAGAAGGCCUUCGGGUUGUAAACUGCUUUUGUACGGAACGAAACGGCUCUGGUUAAUACCCGGGGCUAAUGACGGUACCGUAAGAAUAAGCACCGGCUAACUACGUG